AGCAAACGCUGGCGGCAGGCUUAACACAUGCAAGUCGAGCGGGCAUCCUCGUGGUGUCAGCGGCAGACGGGUGGGUAAUACGUAGGAAUCUGCCCUAGAGUGGGGGAUAACCUGUCGAAAGACGGGCUAAUACCGCAUAAUCUCUAUGGAGCAAAGGUGUCUUGUAGCAAUACAAGGUUUCGCUCUAGGAUGAGCCUACGUCGGAUUAGCUAGUUGGUAGGGUAAUGGCCUACCAAGGCAACGAUCCGUAGCUGGUCUGAGAGGACGAUCAGCCACACUGGAACUGAGACACGGUCCAGACUCCUCCGGGAGGCAGCAGUGGGGAAUAUUGGACAAUGGGGGAAACCCUGAUCCAGCAAUGCCGCGUGUGCGAUGAAGGCCUGCGGGUUGUAAAGCACUUUCGGUGGGGAAGAAAUACUCAAAGAUAAUACCUUUGAGUGCUGACGUUACCCAUAGAAGAAGCACCGGCAAACUCUGUGCCAGCCGCCGCCGUAA
This 495-nucleotide ribosomal RNA is filed under the name uncultured bacterium. RNAcentral describes it as "partial 16S ribosomal RNA". It matches the Rfam family "Bacterial small subunit ribosomal RNA", at positions 29 to 523 of the family's 1533-position model. The record is from RNAcentral.